Felis catus (domestic cat) is the source of this 528-nucleotide long non-coding RNA. RefSeq lists it as uncharacterized. The transcript has 3 exons. Lineage: Eukaryota; Metazoa; Chordata; Mammalia; Carnivora; Felidae. The record is from RefSeq and is a predicted model, not a curated record.
UUUUUCUCUGCUGGGCUUGUAUAGGUGAUGAAUGGCAGGCAAUUCAAGGUAACAGUCUCUGAUAAAGGGCCAGAAGACCAGCAUCCCACAGAUGAUCUAUUCCAAGAGCAAGGAAAACAUCAGAACCAAUUCUUACUGCUAUUCAUUACUACGUGCUUAGAAUGUGCCAGGCACCAGCUUCACAUAAACUGUCUGCUUUGAUCAGGUCAACGACUCUGAGGCAGGUAACUGUUUCGGAACCAGGCUGGAACUCUGGCGGAAAAGCCAAGUGGCCCUCAGAGAUCUUGGUGAAGAUUUAUUUUACACCAGCGGGCUCAGAGGAGACUGUUUCUCCAAAGGUCUGGGGGUGGGACUAGAAAUUCCAGUCCUGUCAUCAGCUGGCCCAAUCUCAGAUCUGACCCACAAAAGAAGAAGCAAACAGAGAGGAGACGAGUAACUCAGGAAAAAGAGGAAGGCAUGUGUGUGAUCUUGGCAACAACCUGUUUUCAAGAGAACCAAGCGGAGCACAUAGAGAACACGACAGAACAC